RNAcentral lists this ribosomal RNA (285 nucleotides) under Enterobacter sp. 818OR. RNAcentral's name for it is "partial 16S ribosomal RNA". It matches the Rfam family "Bacterial small subunit ribosomal RNA", at positions 1121 to 1404 of the family's 1533-position model. The record is from RNAcentral. Lineage: Bacteria; Pseudomonadati; Pseudomonadota; Gammaproteobacteria; Enterobacterales; Enterobacteriaceae.
GCGGUUAGGCCGGGAACUCAAAGGAGACUGCCAGUGAUAAACUGGAGGAAGGUGGGGAUGACGUCAAGUCAUCAUGGCCCUUACGAGUAGGGCUNCNCACGUGCUACAAUGGCGCAUACAAAGAGAANCGACCUCGCGAGAGCAAACGGACCUCAUAAANUGCGUCGUAGUCCGGAUUGGAGUNUGCCUACUCGNCUCCAUGAAGUCGGAAUCGCUAGUAAUCGUAGAUCAGAAUGGUACGGUGAAUACGUUCCCGGGCCAUUGUACACNCCGCCCGUCACACCA